Molecule: ribosomal RNA, 349 nt
Filed under: Ixodes ricinus (castor bean tick)
Lineage: Eukaryota; Metazoa; Arthropoda; Arachnida; Ixodida; Ixodidae
Description: partial large subunit ribosomal RNA
Source: RNAcentral
UUUGACUAUACGAAGGUAUUGAAAUAAGAUUUUAAAUGAGUGCUAAGAGAAUGAUUAAACAAUUAAAAGCUUUCUUUAAUUGAAUAAUUGAAUUUAAUUUUUUAGUGCAAAAGCAAAAAUAAAAAUUAGGGACAAGAAGACCCUAUGAAUUUUUUAUUAAAUUUUAUAAAACUUUAUAUAAAAUUUAAUUUAAUUGGGGUGAUGGAAAAAGAAUAAAUAUCUUUUUUUAAAGAAAAUUGGUUCCGUUUUUAGCGAUUAAAUGAAAAAAAUACUCUAGGGAUAACAGCGUAAUAAUUUUGGAUAGUUCAUAUAGAUAAAAUAGUUUGCGACCUCGAUGUUGGAUUAGGAU